UUUAAUCAAAGUCUCUGUCUGAAGACCUUUUUGCAAUGCCGUGGGUACAAAUGCGCUGAAAACGUUAAUAAUCACAGGCUUUGUCUAAAAACCUUUUGCAAGCCGUGAGGUACUAAUUUUAUGAUUCACAGUCCUUGUCUCAGGACUUUAUUGCAAGCCGUGGGUACUCACAUAGUGAAUACUUUUUUUUCAAUCACAGUCUCUGUCUAAAGACUUGUUUUUAAGCCGUGGGUACUAAAUUUUGUCACACUUUGCAUCCUUAAACAUAGAGCUGUGGGUAAGCAAGGGAUCUGAUUUAGAUUUAGAGUCUUUGUCUGAAGACUUCUUUCAAACGGUACAUACCAAUGUUGUCUAAACCCCCUUAAUAAAGCCGUGGGUAAAACAAGAUUUUCCAAUCACUUUGAGGAACUUGUGAUCGUUACUUCACACAAUGGGACUGGGGACAAUUAGUUUUCAUGACUUGUGAUCGUUAUUUCCAUUCAACAAGUUCAAAAACAAUUCAUAUCCUUUGUGUUAAUGUAUCCUUCCAAUGAUCUUAUAGUCUUUAGACAUAGUCAUUUUCUGUCUAAAGACAUUUUGUAAGCCGAUGGUUAUUUUUGUAAAGCCGUGGGUACUAAAGCAUAUUUCACUUUACCAUCCCC
RNAcentral lists this long non-coding RNA (641 nucleotides) under Brassica rapa (field mustard). RNAcentral describes it as "long non-coding RNA (BRAP_LNC004567)". Lineage: Eukaryota; Viridiplantae; Streptophyta; Magnoliopsida; Brassicales; Brassicaceae. The record is from RNAcentral.